GAUCAUUACCAAUUUGUUUGUUAAUCAAACUUACUUUCUUUAACUUCGCACAAUCAUUUUUUAAUGGUUGUGUCGCACCAUUAAUGUAAAGAACGACGAAUUCGUUCUUUUACAACUUUUCCAUUAUUCAACAAAAUUUAUUGUUGUUUUGUCAUUGAAUAUGAAUCGAAUCUAACUUAAAAAAAAUACAGAUAUAAUUCUGUACGGUGGAUCACUCGGCUCGUUAUUCGAUGAAGAGCGCAGCAAAGUGCGAGAAAGCAAUGCGAAUUGCAGGACACAUUGAGCAUGAAUAACUCGAACGCAUCUAGCAGCCAAGAUUUUAUCGAGGCUAAAUUUGCUUCAGUCUUGUUUACAUAACAUCAAAUUCAUUUUAUCUAAAAUGAAUUGCUGGCAAGUUCAAUGAUUUUUUCAUUCAUUUAGCUUGCAAUACAUAUCUCUUACAUACAUCAUCAUUGAUGUAUAUACGUAUAAAACGAAGUUAUACAUAAUACACACAAAAUAUAUAUGUGUAAAUUGUCAUAACAUGAGAAAUCUUUAUCAUAUCCAUGUUAUUGAUUAAAAAACAUAUAUAUGUGUAAUACUUAUUCAUUUCAAGCUGAAGUCAAAUUAGAAGACUUGCUGAACUUAAGCAUAUUAAUAAGCAAAGGAAAAGAAAUCAACUGAGAUUGCCUUAGUAAUGGCGAAUGAACCGGCAAAAGCUCAUUGCUGAAGCGUGUUAAAUUUACUUUUGACAUGCAUUGUAGCAUUUGGGGUGACUAUUGUAUGGUGCCUAUUCGUGUGAGUUCCUUUGAUCAGGGCUUUAACCAUAGAAGGUGCUAGUCCUAUAAUCACGAAUAGUUUUUGUGCUGUACAUUGUACACCUUUCGAGUAGCGUAGUUUGAGAUUGCUACGCCAACGUGGGACGUAAACUUGUUCCAAAGCUAAAUAUUAUAACGAGACCGAUAGCGAACAAGUACCGUGAGGGAAAGUUGAAAAGCACUCUGAAGAGAGAGUUAAAUAGUACGUAAAACCGUACAGAAGAAAACGAAUGGCCGCAUUCAUCAGAUUAUUUUGGAUUCAAUUCGACUCUUUAUGAUGAUUUGACUUGUUAAUUGUGAACUUCAACAGUCCAUUGACAUGUUCUUUUCUAAAGUCGGAUGCAUUUUCAAAAUAUUAACUGAACCUGGAUCUAUAACUUACAGCUAGUUGAAUCAGCCUAUUUUGGUAGCGAAUCUCGUAUUCGUGUUAAAAAUAUGGUUUGCAUAUCAAAUUCGACUUGGCGUUAUAGGUAAAUUGACAUGUUUUUGAUUUCAGUACUUUCUUGUACGGCAUGUUAUGAGCAUUGUUUGUGUUGCAUGAGUAACUAAGACGUAAAAAAUCUUAGUUUUAUUCAUGUUGAUGCUUAAUGUUUUAUGANCUGUCAAUGAAAUCGG
This 1412-nucleotide ribosomal RNA is filed under the name uncultured fungus. RNAcentral describes it as "eukaryotic LSU rRNA". The stretch from base 592 to 1412 matches the Rfam family "Eukaryotic large subunit ribosomal RNA", at positions 1 to 639 of the family's 3401-position model. The record is from RNAcentral. Lineage: Eukaryota; Fungi.